UAGGGAAUCUUCCACAAUGGACGCAAGUCUGAUGGAGCAACGCCGCGUGAGUGAAGAAGGCUUUCGGGUCGUAAAACUCUGUUGUUGGAGAAGAAUGGUCGGCAGAGUAACUGUUGUCGGCGUGACGGUAUCCAACCAGAAAGCCACGGCUAACUACGUGCCAGCAGCCGCGGUAAUACGUAGGUGGCAAGCGUUAUCCGGAUUUAUUGGGCGUAAAGCGAGCGCAGGCGGUUUUUUAAGUCUGAUGUGAAAGCCCUCGGCUUAACCGAGGAAGCGCAUCGGAAACUGGGAAACUUGAGUGCAGAAGAGGACAGUGGAACUCCAUGUGUAGCGGUGAAAUGCGUAGAUAUAUGGAAGAACACCAGUGGCGAAGGCGGCUGUCUGGUCUGUAACUGACGCUGAGGCUCGAAAGCAUGGGUAGCGAACAGGAUUAGAUACCCUGGUAGUCCAUGCCGUAAACGAUGAAUGCUAGGUGUUGGAGGGUUUCCGCCCUUGCAGUGCCGCAGCUAACGCAUUAAGCAUUCCGCCUGGGGAGUACGACCGCAAGGUUG
This 551-nucleotide ribosomal RNA is filed under the name uncultured bacterium. RNAcentral describes it as "partial 16S ribosomal RNA". It matches the Rfam family "Bacterial small subunit ribosomal RNA", at positions 355 to 896 of the family's 1533-position model. The record is from RNAcentral.